GAUGAAGAACGCAGCGAAAUGCGAUAAGUAAUGUGAAUUGCAGAGUUCAGUGAAUCAUCGAAUCUUUGAACGCACAUUGCGCCCGCCAGUAUUCUGGCGGGCAUGCCUGUCCGUGCGUCAUUUCAACCCUCAAGCACGGCUUGUGUGUUGGGCCUCCGUCCUCCUCCCGGGGGACGGGCCCGAAAGGCAGCGGCGGCACCGCGUCCGGUCCUCGAGCGUAUGGGGCUUCGUCACCCGCUCUUGUAGGCCCGGCCGGCGCUUGCCGACACAUCAAUCUUUUUUCCAGGUUGACCUCGGAUCAGGUAGGGAUACCCGCUGAACUUAAGCAUAUCAAUAAGCGGAGGA
RNAcentral lists this unclassified non-coding RNA (345 nucleotides) under soil metagenome. Its description in RNAcentral is "partial contains 5.8S ribosomal RNA, internal transcribed spacer 2, and large subunit ribosomal RNA". The stretch from base 1 to 120 matches the Rfam family "5.8S ribosomal RNA", at positions 35 to 154 of the family's 154-position model. The record is from RNAcentral.